ACAGCAGUAGCCGCGGGAAUACGGAGGGAGCUAGCGUUGUUCGGAAUUACUGGGCGUAAAGCGUGCGUAGGCGGCUUCUUAAGUCGGAUGUGAAAUCCCUGAGCUUAACUUAGGAAUUGCAUUCGAUACUGGGAAGCUAGAGUAUGGGAGAGGAUGGUAGAAUUCCAGGUGUAGCGGUGAAAUGCGUAGAGAUCUGGAGGAAUACCGAUGGCGAAGGCAGCCAUCUGGCCUAAUACUGACGCUGAGGUACGAAAGCAUGGGGAGCAAACAGGAUUAGAUACCCCGGUAGUCCCUGUCUCUUAUAA
Molecule: ribosomal RNA, 305 nt
Filed under: uncultured bacterium
Lineage: Bacteria
Description: partial 16S ribosomal RNA
Rfam family: Bacterial small subunit ribosomal RNA
Source: RNAcentral